AGUCCGUGCAGGUUAAGACCCUCUUACUAGCGGCUGCCCAAGGGUACACUCCCUUACAAUUCAAAGGAGCCACACUGACAGUGUUCCCUGAUCUAACAAGAGGCACCAUUGAGUGGCACAGGGCCCUGCGGCCACUACUACCUUUGCUCCGUGACAGGGGAAUACAAUACUGGUGGGGGACACCGAGAUUGCUGCUCUUCCAACAUCAGGGCACAACACACUGAGCUCGCUGCUUCUCC
Molecule: non-coding RNA, 239 nt
Organism: Pelobates cultripes (western spadefoot toad)
Lineage: Eukaryota; Metazoa; Chordata; Amphibia; Anura; Pelobatidae
Source: the annotation of a GenBank genome assembly